UCCUACGGGGGGCAGCAGUAGGGAAUUUUCGUCAAUGGGCGCAAGCCUGAACGAGCAAUGCCGCGUGAACGAGGAAGGUCUUCGGAUCGUAAAGUUCUGUUGAAGGGGAAAAAGAGCGGAGAGAGGAAAUGGUCUCCGAUUGAUAUUACCCUUCGAGGAAGUCACGGCUAACUACGUGCCAGCAGCCGCGGUAAUACGUAGGGGGCGAGCGUUAUCCGGAAUGAUUGGGCGUAAAGGGUGCGUAGGCGGCCUGCUAAGUCUGGAGUGAAAGGUACGGGCUCAACCGGUACAGGCUAUGCAAACUG
This 305-nucleotide ribosomal RNA is filed under the name uncultured bacterium. RNAcentral's name for it is "bacterial SSU rRNA". It matches the Rfam family "Bacterial small subunit ribosomal RNA", at positions 337 to 635 of the family's 1533-position model. The record is from RNAcentral.